RNAcentral lists this ribosomal RNA (336 nucleotides) under uncultured Serratia sp. RNAcentral's name for it is "bacterial SSU rRNA". It matches the Rfam family "Bacterial small subunit ribosomal RNA", at positions 355 to 683 of the family's 1533-position model. The record is from RNAcentral. Lineage: Bacteria; Pseudomonadati; Pseudomonadota; Gammaproteobacteria; Enterobacterales; Yersiniaceae.
UGGGGAAUAUUGCACAAUGGGCGCAAGCCUGAUGCAGCCAUGCCGCGUGUGUGAAGAAGGCCUUCGGGUUGUAAAGCACUUUCAGCGAGGAGGAAGGGUUCAGUGUUAAUAGCACUGUGCAUUGACGUUACUCGCAGAAGAAGCACCGGCUAACUCCGUGCCAGCAGCCGCGGUAAUACGGAGGGUGCAAGCGUUAAUCGGAAUUACUGGGCGUAAAGCGCACGCAGGCGGUUUGUUAAGUCAGAUGUGAAAUCCCCGCGCUUAACGUGGGAACUGCAUUUGAAACUGGCAAGCUAGAGUCUUGUAGAGGGGGGUAGAAUUCCAGGUGUAGCGGUG